AUUGAACGCUGGCGGCAGGCCUAACACAUGCAAGUCGAGCGGGUGAAUGGAGCUUUCUCCUGGAUUCAUCGGCGGACUGGUGAGUAAUGCCUAUGAAUCUGCCUUGUAGUGGCGGAUAACGUCCGGAAACGGGCGCUAAUACCGCAUACGUCCUGUGGGAGAAAGUGGGGGAUCUUCGGACCUCACGCUAUCAUAUGAGCCUAGGUCGGAUUAGCUAGUUGGUGGGGUAAAGGCCUACCAAGGCGACGAUCCGUAACUGGUCUUAGAGGAUGAUCAGUCACCCUGGAACUGAGACCAGGUCCAGACUCAUAAGGGCGGCAGCGAUGGGGAAUAUUGGAACAUGGGCGAACGUAUGCUCCAGACAUGCCGCGUGUGUGAAGAAGGUCUUCGGAUUGUCAAGAACUUUAAGUUGGGAGGAAGGGCAGUAAGUUAAUACCUUGCUGUUUUGACGUUAACAACAGAAUAAGCACCGGCUAACUUCGUG
This 484-nucleotide ribosomal RNA is filed under the name uncultured bacterium. RNAcentral describes it as "partial 16S ribosomal RNA". It matches the Rfam family "Bacterial small subunit ribosomal RNA", at positions 30 to 507 of the family's 1533-position model. The record is from RNAcentral.